RNAcentral lists this long non-coding RNA (736 nucleotides) under Equus caballus (horse). Its description in RNAcentral is "lncRNA (ENSECAG00000048781.1)". The record is from RNAcentral. Lineage: Eukaryota; Metazoa; Chordata; Mammalia; Perissodactyla; Equidae.
GUUUUUAAAAGCCCCAACAGGCCAGUUUCCAUGAGAUGGUCGGGGAAGGCCCUCUGAGGAGCCUGGAUGGGGGAGGGGGCAGGGGCAGAGCCAGUCGAGGACAGAGAGUUCCCAGGACAGGGAACAGAAAUGCCGAAGUCCAGAGGGGAGGACGAGGCAGGAAAAAACCAGGCAGUUCCAGCCCGUGUGACAAACAUCCCUUCUCCAGCUCCACUAGGUGAGCUCUCACCUACUCACCGGAGGACUCGAGGAUGCACUGUCUCACUGAGUUGCAGCUGGGAAAGUGGGAGGAGGCCCUGGGGCCAGCCAGCGAGGAGUAAGCAGGAGAAAACCUCUGUCUGGUUCUGGAUCAGCACAGGGAUGCCAGCCCCAGCACAGGACUCAGCAUAGAAGAUGCUCGAUCAAAGAAAUGGAAGCCCAGAGAGGUCCAUCAAUUGCCCAAGGUCACACAGCCAAUGAAGAGCAGAGCCCAGGUUCGAACCUGGGUCUGUGAGCCCCAAAGCCUUUGCUUGGGACCUUAACCCCCACCACCUCCCCUUAAAGCGAUGCUGCUGGCCUCCUGCUUCCCAAAUCUCCUUAAGUCCCCACCGUUCAAGGUCACACAGCAAGCUCCUGGCAGAGCCUCUUAAAAAGUGUUUCCAUUUAGUGUUUGCAUUGAUUAUUUCCUUUUUGCUUUAUAGGAAUUUUCCCCCUUUUAUUUGCAAAGAAAAGCCAAUGUAAAUGUUCUCCCCACACA